This is a long non-coding RNA of Malaclemys terrapin pileata, 508 nucleotides long. RefSeq lists it as uncharacterized. The record is from RefSeq and is a predicted model, not a curated record. NCBI's taxonomy places the organism in Eukaryota, Metazoa, Chordata, Testudines, Emydidae. The transcript has 3 exons.
GCUGGAGGAGACACGGAACAGCAAUGCUAUAAGCAGAAAUGCUGUGUAAGGCUUGAACCAGGUAUGAAAAUUCAUCAGAUCAUACUUAGAACUACGUAUUUGGAACCCCCCAAAUAUUUUCAUUGUCCCUGAGAGACCACAGCUUCCUAUCACCACUUUAGAAACGGCUCACCUGCCAAUGCUUUCUGACUUGCUGACUGGACACGGCAGGAAGCCACAGAUGCUCAGUAAAUUUAUCUCUCCACAUCUCACAACUCUGACAAUGCAAAGCUAUUUGGAUAGCAAGAAGCUGCAGUGACUGCAAGCAACCACAAAAUGCUAAAAGGGACCUUUCCCAGUUAUUUACAAUACUCAGAAUAUGAAAAAAUCUGACUUGGCAACAACCCCUGAAUGAGACACUUAGGAUCAAGAUCCUCAUGAAACUUCCUUUUACAGUGGGAUUAUUUGAAGCAAAAUCAAGGCUUAUGUCAACAAUUUUAUUGAAGAUUAAAGCCUGAUUCUACAAGUA